This is a long non-coding RNA of Pseudoliparis swirei, 538 nucleotides long. RefSeq lists it as uncharacterized. The transcript has 3 exons. The record is from RefSeq and is a predicted model, not a curated record. NCBI's taxonomy places the organism in Eukaryota, Metazoa, Chordata, Actinopteri, Perciformes, Liparidae.
CAACGUGGAACAUCCUCGCACGCAUGUUCACUGAUGAUGUUGGCAAAUCCAUAAAUUGGAAAGGGAUUAAUGGAAAAAAAUCUUUCAAUCUAAUGACGUCCAAGACUUUGCUCCUGCGUGAAUGUUACUCAACUAUACCUUUACAUAAUAGUUAUAUGAUAUAUUAGCUCUAUGGAGUGGAGAUGGUCAGCUGCUUCAGGUUCCUCGGGGUCAACAUCAGCAACGACCUCACCUGGUCUGCUCACACAGACAAGGUGGUCACUGCGGCCCGGAAGCGCCUCUUCUUCCUGAGGAGACUGAAGAAGUUUGGCAUGGAUUCAGUCAUCCUCACCAAUUUCUACAGAUGCACAAUAGAAAGCAUCCUGACUGGGUGCAUCACAGUGUGGGAGCUGCACAGCCAAGGACCGCAAGGCCCUACGUAGUGUGGUCAGGACUGCGGAGUUCAUCAUCGAUGCUGUCAGAAAGAAUCACUCAACACAUGCGUCCACUGACGACCAGGUUCUUAAGCACGCCAUUCGGUGGUUCAACCUGGCAGCAG